This 305-nucleotide ribosomal RNA is filed under the name uncultured bacterium. RNAcentral describes it as "bacterial SSU rRNA". It matches the Rfam family "Bacterial small subunit ribosomal RNA", at positions 29 to 334 of the family's 1533-position model. The record is from RNAcentral.
AGUGAACGCUGGCGGCGUGCUUAACACAUGCAAGUCGAACGAGAACGGUCCUUCGGGAUGUCAGCUAAGUGGCGGACGGGUGAGUAAUGUAUAGUUAAUUUGCCCCUUAGAGAGGGAUAACAGUUGGAAACGACUGCUAAUACCUCAUACUCCUUCUAUGUUAAUCAUGGUUGGGAAAUCUUUUAUGGCUAAGGGAUAAGAUUAUAUGGUAUCAGUUAGUUGGUGAGGUAAUGGCUCACCAAGACAAUGACGCCUAGCUGGUCUGAGAGGAUGAUCAGCCACACUGGAACUGAGACACGGUCCAG